Molecule: small nuclear RNA, 183 nt
Filed under: Dermacentor silvarum
Lineage: Eukaryota; Metazoa; Arthropoda; Arachnida; Ixodida; Ixodidae
Description: U2 spliceosomal RNA
Rfam family: U2 spliceosomal RNA
About the family: U2 is a small nuclear RNA (snRNA) component of the spliceosome (involved in pre-mRNA splicing). Complementary binding between U2 snRNA (in an area lying towards the 5' end but 3' to hairpin I) and the branchpoint sequence (BPS) of the intron results the bulging out of an unpaired adenosine, on the BPS, which initiates a nucleophilic attack at the intronic 5' splice site, thus starting the first of two transesterification reactions that mediate splicing.
Source: RNAcentral
AUGGCUGAAGCGGGUCAAAGAGUAGUAUCUGUUCUUAUCAGCUUAAUAUCUGAUACGGGUUGUAUUUGUAUCCAAGAUGUUAAACUUAUUUUUGCAAGUUGGCGGAGUGAUUGAAGCCUGCUUCACCUACGCCGCGGGUCGGCUCGGUAUUGCACUAUCUUCGGGAUUUUUGGUCUGCGGACA